AACCGCGGUUAUACGAAAGGCCUAAGUUGAUGAAACGCGGCGCAAAGAGUGGUUAGGAUACCAUUCAAUUAAAGCUACACCCCCUCCUGGCCGUUGUAAGCCUAUGAGACUCUGAGACACAACUACGAAAGUGGCUUUAUACUCCUGAUCCCACGAAAGCUAGGAAA
This 167-nucleotide ribosomal RNA is filed under the name Cynoglossus robustus. RNAcentral describes it as "partial 12S ribosomal RNA". Lineage: Eukaryota; Metazoa; Chordata; Actinopteri; Pleuronectiformes; Cynoglossidae. The record is from RNAcentral.